Molecule: small RNA, 92 nt
Filed under: Agrobacterium tumefaciens CCNWGS0286
Lineage: Bacteria; Pseudomonadati; Pseudomonadota; Alphaproteobacteria; Hyphomicrobiales; Rhizobiaceae
Description: Rhizobiales sRNA Atu_Ti1
Rfam family: Rhizobiales sRNA Atu_Ti1
Source: Rfam by way of RNAcentral
GUCCACGUUGCGGCGGACCAGAGCCAGAAUCCUGCGAGGAUGAUGGCGGCGGCCGGCCAAAGCCUCGUCGUCAUGACGGUGAGGCCGGUCGC